UACGGGGGGGGUAAGCGUUGUUCGGAAUUACUGGGCGUAAAGCGCACGUAGGCGGAUACUUAAGUUAGGGGUGAAAUCCCAGAGCUCAACUCUGGAACUGCCUUUAAUACUGGGUAUCUCGAGUCCGGAAGAGGUGAGUGGAAUUCCGAGUGUAGAGGUGAAAUUCGUAGAUAUUCGGAGGAACACCAGUGGCGAAGGCGGCUCACUGGUCCGGUACUGACGCUGAGGUGCGAAAGCGAGGGGAGCAAACAGG
Molecule: ribosomal RNA, 253 nt
Filed under: uncultured bacterium
Lineage: Bacteria
Description: partial 16S ribosomal RNA
Rfam family: Bacterial small subunit ribosomal RNA
Source: RNAcentral